AUUGAACGCUGGCGGCAGGCUUAACACAUGCAAGUCGAGCGGAGUGAUGGUGCUUGCACUAUCACUUAGCGGCGGACGGGUGAGUAAUGCUUAGGAAUCUGCCUAUUAGUGGGGGACAACAUCUCGAAAGGGAUGCUAAUACCGCAUACGUCCUACGGGAGAAGGCAGGGGAUCACUUGUGACCUUGCGCUAAUAGAUGAGCCUAAGUCGGAUUAGCUAGUUGGUGGGGUAAAGGCCUACCAAGGCGACGAUCUGUAGCGGGUCUGAGAGGAUGAUCCGCCACACUGGGACUGAGACGCGGCCCAGACUCCUACGGGAGGCAGCAGUGGGGAAUAUGGGACAAUGGGGGGAACCCUGAUCCAGCCAUGCCGCGUGUGUGAAGAAGGCCUUAUGGUUGUAAAGCACUUUAAGCGAGGAGGAGGCUCUUUUGGUUAAUACCCAAGAUGAGUGGACGUUACUCGCAGAAUAAGCACCGGCUAACUCUGUGCCAGCCGCCGCAGUAA
Molecule: ribosomal RNA, 503 nt
Filed under: uncultured bacterium
Lineage: Bacteria
Description: partial 16S ribosomal RNA
Rfam family: Bacterial small subunit ribosomal RNA
Source: RNAcentral